CUCUCCAUCAGAAAGUCAGAAACAUUGACUGAAGCAUAGUCAUCAGUGGGCUGCGGAUUCUCCAAGGCUCCUCUGCACAGCCUCUGCCCUGGAGGUAGUGGGAGGGCAUUCCCAAACAGUCUCUCCUUCCCCUGAAGUGGGGAAGGAGGGUACAUGAGUCUCAUUCUAAUUCCUCCUCUCUUAAUCUUGAUUUUGUUUUUCUUUUUUGCCUUAGAUGAUGGUACUCCUUCCAGCCCAGGAUUUUUGCUUCAGAGGCACCUGCUGCAACUCAUUUUUGCGGAUGAAGAGUUUGAGGCUUCAGAUGAGGUUCUCUAAUGUAAAUCAAUGGCAUUGAAGUCCACAAUUAAUGGCCUCCCUGUAUUCAUCCCCUUUGCAAAGUGACCUUGCAGAUUCUUCCAUCAAGAGGUAAGUCUAUUGCCUUACUCCCUUAAUCUGGGCUAAACCUUGUGCCUUGUUUUGGUCAAUAGAAUGUGACAGAAGAGCUAAGGUGCCACUUUUAAGCUUAGGCUUUAGGCAGUCAUGAAUGCUUCUGUUUUUUCUUUUGAAACCAUACCACUGCCAUGUGAAUAAGCCUAGGCCAACUUGUGAAGGAUAAGAGACUAUGUGGAAGAAAGUCCCAUUAUUCCAUCUAGAAGCCAGCCCAGAGUUAGAUGAUCCUUAAAUGUGUGAGACAGUCCACCCAAGACCAGAACAGCUGCCUACUAGAC
RNAcentral lists this long non-coding RNA (707 nucleotides) under Cercocebus atys (sooty mangabey). RNAcentral describes it as "lncRNA (ENSCATG00000045543.1)". The record is from RNAcentral. Lineage: Eukaryota; Metazoa; Chordata; Mammalia; Primates; Cercopithecidae.